CUGCAUAAAGUACUCAGUGAAACAUUUGACAUAGAGCAUUAAAAUGAAAUUUUGAAUAAAGAAGACAUUUCAUUAGUUAACACAGUUUAAAUAGGUCAUUGUUGGACUAACCUGACUCAAGAAGCAAGAAUCCAUUGCAUUUCUUGUCCUUACAUCUAUAACCUUCCAGGAUAGCAUUUUCCCGAAGCUCCUCAUAUGAAUUCUUGACAGUUUGACAGCAAAAUCAGGUCAUGAAAAAUUCAAACUAAGCAGAAAGUGAAUUCCAAAAACAAAGGGAAAAGGCCAUUAAAAUAAAUAGAUUAACCAAAAACCUUGGUGCAGCAAGAACAUGUGCAGGUGAAAAAAUACUGCUUGAGAUCAUUUUGCCGUGUCUGAGUGGUUGCUGCAGUCUCUAUAUAACUUAUCAAGACCUUAAAAGGAGAAAGAUAUUAGUAACUUCAAAACCAAGUCCAUUUCCCUGCAAAUUGAAUGAUAUCAUAACUAAAAUGAUGAUGACCAAGUUCAAGCCAAGAUAUAGGAGAGAGAACCUACCUCAGCACACUUAGGUAUAGGUUCCACAGCACGGACAAAAGCUACUCGACCUUCAAAUACCAAAACUGAAUUGGGCAAACAACUGAAAUUCCAAAUAUUCCCAGCACAGAAAUUUCUCUAAUUUAGAUGUAAGAAAAGAAUUCACUAGAAGAAGCUGUUGCGGAAAAAACAAUAAAGAAAAUAUAUACAAGCUAUGAACCUGUGGUUAAUGAUGGAAAUUACAGGAUAUAGUCCAGUCCCCAGGGGUCUAAGUUCACUAUCGCAGAUAGUAUGAGCAUUACAUGCCACCUGCAUCAUAUUUAUCAGAAUCAACAUGUCGUAAAGAAAAUGUGUAUGCAAACAAACAGGCAUGUGUACACAUAUAUAAACAUCUAACUCCGUAUAAGCAUCUAACUCUGUGUAAGUGUUGAAAAUGCAUGCAUCCCCAUUUAUGGGCAUUUCUCUGUGUGUGUGUGUGUGUGUGCAAAUUAUACAUAAUGUGUCAGAGGUGCAAAAAUAAAUGAUUACCUUUCCAAUAUUAGUGAAAAGUGGAUGUUUGGAGAUAUGCUUUCAGGGUGUGGAAUGGCUGCCACAUAUCAGUGCCAGCAAUCUAAUACAAAUGAAAAUGCUGGGCAAUAAAGAGUGCGCUAGUAAAUAUUUCUGGUGUGAACUUCAAAAUGAGGAUUAGCGAACAAUUCAUGUCCGCACUGGUUUCAGGAGCUUUUUAUAGAUUUAAAACCAAACAAUUUUCGUUUUUCAAGUGUUAAACUAAGCAACAAUUUAAAAUAGUAAAAAGAUAAGAGAGCCAAUCUACCUGCCUUAGCCCAGACACUGAACAAAAACAUUUGGAAAGGAUUCACUGCUGAAACUACAGCCUUACAGAACACAAGAAGAUGCCAAUAUAGUCACCUCUCACAAUAACCUAUUGCUUUCAACUUGGUAUGUAGAAGCUUGUAGAAACCAAUGCCAUAGGCCUUCUAAUGUUCAGCUUGAGCAAGCAUUUGGAAGCUCCAUUUGCAGUUUAAUUUCUGGAACAACACUUGCACGAGCAUAGUGAUCAGUUAUCACUAUUCCUUUCCAAAAGCAAUCUGAUUUAAGAUCAGUUGGCAAUCUAUAUUUUCUUUACACAGAUAGCAUUAGGACUCAUGGAUGAGAGAUAUACGCACUGUUCGCCGAACCGCCACGAACCGGACGGUUCAGGAUAUUCCAAGCCGUACUGGCGGCAAAUCGGGACAGUUCGGACAGGUAAAUCAAAACAUCCAACGGGGGAGAGGGAAAAAGAGGAAAGGAGAGAGAGAAGAGGAGAGGGGAAGAUGGGACGACGCCGCUGGAGACCAGCGGUGGCUUGCCGAGACCGUUGGAGGGCUGCAGAGGCCUCCGCGGCUCGAUAUCGCCUAAUAGGGAGUUAAAUGAGAGAGAAAGAGAAGCAGUGGUAGUGAAGGGACUUGCAGCUGACGGAGAGGUUGUCGAAGGGCACCGGACGGCCGUUGUGGCCGCCGGACGACGUAAUCGAUGCCUACAACGCCAUGGGCAUGAAACAAGGGCGAUCACCCCUGUUUCAUUUUUGCGGUGCCGCAAGCGUCGAUUAUGCCGUCCUGCGGCUACGACAGCCAGUCGAUGGCCCUCUGGCGGCUUCUCCUCCCUCCUUUUCUUUCUUUCCUCUCCUCUCUCUAUCUCUCUCUCUUUCCCUCUUUUCCUCCUCCAUGUUUCUCUUUUUCUCCCCUAUGUCGGUUCGUGCUAGUCCGGUCCGAUACGAACCCGUACCAACUCGUACCGUCGGCCAGCCGGUAUGGGUACCGAUUCUGAUUCCAGUUCUGGCUUCUUUGGAUAUACGUUUGACUAGAAAAUUCUGUUCCUAUAGGUCUCUUCAUCUUCUAAGUCACUUGAUCUGCCAUGUUCCCUUAUGUUAAUCCAAGUCUAGGGAAACCUUAAAGGGUUGCUCCAAUUGCAUCAGCUUGAACUGCACAAGUCUCCGUAGCCAUCAGCUGACCUUCUUAGUUUAUGAUAAGCUCCCUUCUUGCUCAAAGUUCUCUUUGUGGAAAUUAACAGCAUUCUAUGGAGGGUCAAGAUAUAUUAUGAGCCAGUAAGAAAGCAGAAACGCUAAUGAAUCACUAGCCAACCCCAGAUAAUAGACCUCACCUAUCACCAAGGUGCCUAGGCAACUUUAGUACAAAAUUGAUAAUUUCUUUUCCCAACUAUUUCUAGCUCACGCAACUACAUGGACAUGCGUAAGUCUUUAUGCAGAAUGCAUUAAACAUUCUACAUGAUGCAUGGAUGCACACAACCACAGAUAUGGAAUGAAGUUAUCGAAUAGGUAUUGAUAACACACCAAUCAAAUAGCCAAAAAAAAAGGAUGAACAUGCUAUAGUAAAUGAUGAGUUCCAAACGUGAAACCAUUAGAGAUACUCUAACUUCUGUCCGGAUUUUGUGACAAGGCUUUAUGGUUAUGGUUAUGGUUUGCAAAUGAUGUCCUGCUUAUGCCUAUUUCUCCCAGGUAUUUUUGUUGCAUUCUGGUGAAAUGAUAAUUUGAUCCUAGAUGCAACAAAAAAUAAGUAACAAACUGUCUCUCGUCUGGUGCACAAUAGCAUAAAUUAGUUUAAAAAGAAAAGGAAAAAACACACAACUGUACAGCAAGUAUGCAACAUUAAUUUGAAAUUCACCUUCGAAAAAUUGCAUGCGAUCUCCUUUAAAUCGACCUCCAGUGAAGGAAGUACUAACUUGACAAGGUUAGCCAUCUGUGCAUACAGCACUAGCUGUUCCUUAUCAACAUCAGAGAUAUCUUGGUGCAUAUAAUUGUCAACCAAACAAUGUAUCAUAGAAAUCUCGCAUUGAAAUAAAUUUUCCACCAAAUGAAAAUAAAUCUAGGAUACGAGAUUCCAAAGCCUCCACCAAGCUGUAGUUAUCUAUUGCAGUAGUUGGAAUAACCUAAACAAAAGGACAAGAAAAGUACAUCAUAGUGCGCAACUCUAAUGCAUAAAGUGCCCUAAUAGUUGAUCCACAAAUAGACCCCAGUAUAGUAAUGAAUCAACAUGUUGUCUCAACAAGAUUUUAGAAACCACGCAACAUUACAAAUUCAUGCAAACGAGAGAGAGAGAGAGAGAGUCUUCCAGCUAUACUUAGCAGACUUAGUCUAAUACAAAGUAAAGUGCAUACUCUUUUACAUCUUUGUCGCAUGAGGACUUCAUUUCCUGUGCUAGAGACACCUCAAAAUACUUUAAACACAACCAUCAAAUCACAUACAAGAGAUGACAAGGAAAAACUCCAAUUUACCAAAUAUAAAUAUAUAUCACCAAGAAGAUUUACCAGUUUUGGCACCCGCAUGGGCACCUAGCCAUGCCAAGUGUUGAUACAGUACAUUUAGCAUGCAUCUCUAGUGUAAGCUAUCUAGAUUUACCAGCAAAUUAUGCUAGUGGUGAUGUCAAAUUAUGGUUUCCUUGCAUAUUUUGGGGAGCUAGUUGUCUGAAUACAGGGAGUGUUGCAUAUCUUAGGAUGGUGGUAUGUAUCAAGUAUCAGCAUGGUGCUUCUUCAACUAACUUUAGGUGCAAAUAAAAAAGUUCGAUUCUUCAUCGCUAGUUGCAAAGCAUUGAAAAGAAUUGGUCACAUGUUAGUGACACAGAUCAAUUGUACUUAUCAGUAGAUUCGAGCAAAUCAAUCAAAAUUGAGAAAUAUAGGUCUAGUAGUACCUUAAAAAAUAUAUCAUGAUGGGUAUUAAUUAUUGAAUAGUAUAAUAAGAUUUUAAGAGAAAUAUAUAAGAUUCUUAUUGUGCAUUACCAAGAAAAAUUAGCAUAGCAGCAUAACCAGCACGGUACCUAUCUCAAUUAAUUAUUAAUCACAUAUCUGUGCUUCCUUGUACAACUAGGAGAAUUGAAGAAAAUUAAGUUAGAUAAAAGACCAUUCUGGAUUCAUACAAAUAAAAUUUCAACAAGAAAGAAUUGAAGAAAAAAAUGAGAAAUUCAAACAAAAGAGCUAAUCAAGUACACAUAAAGAGGAUGAAUAACUGAAAUAGAAAUUAACAGAUCAUAUGCUCAAUUGUUACAUAAGAAAAAGAGUUGCUACAGAAAAUGAUUAACAAAAUUAAUGAUCUAAAUGAGUUCUAUAUGAGCAACCAUAGCAAGACAUCAUAGCUUUCAGCCGGGCAGAUAGAAAGAAAAACAGGAAAUGAACAAGCAAGAAGUUUGCAGAACAUGCUAUCCAAAGUUCCAAAGUCCAAACAAUAUCAUAUGUGUAACCACCUGCUCACUUUGCAAUUUUCUCCUUAGCAUCAGUCUCACCAUUAGACGAAUGGUAGGAGUGAGCUUUUUCUUUCUUUCCUCACUAAGAGCCACAAGAGCUUGGCAUUCUAGUUGAUGUAACUUCCAUUCUGAUCUCUGAUAACAAUAAAACAUAGUGCAAACAUUAGAUGUCAAAAUAAGCAACUGUAAAACUUAAUGCAGUCAUUUUGUUUCUUCUUCAACUUUCUAUAGCAUCAUUAUAGUGAUGGAAAUAAGUAAGAACAAUCUGAUUAUUUUGCCUAUACAUCUGAUAGGCUGUAGCCUUUUUUUCCAUAUUUGCACAACUGCAAUAAUUUAUAUUUCCACAACAAUGCACUUGUUGAAAAUUAGGCAGGCCUCAUUUGUAAUUUAGAAUAGGAAGACUAUCACUUGUAAAUUUUAAAGUCCUUGGGUCCACAGCCCUUAAUGGUGCCCAUGGUCUCUAUCACAUUCUAUAUUGCAUUUUCCUGGUGGACAAACCCAGCUAGUACAGCAUAAUUAGGGGUUUGAGGGCACCAGUUCAUAGAAUGGAAGAGUUGAAAUGACCAAAAUUACAAACAUCUCAUUACAAUUCAAACUACCAGGAAGAUCACAUAUUUUAUCAUCACUGGCAAUAAAAUGUUGGAAUGGAAAAACUGUUACAACUGCUGUAGAAAUCUAUCCUUGUGAGGACCUAGUACAUAGUGAAUCUUGACAUAUUGACAUUCUUAAUAGAUAGUGAACCUUGACAUAUUGGCAUGUUCUCUUACUUUCAUGAAGCAAUCCAAGUGACCUUAGAGCUAUAGUCAAAAGAUUUAUCAUUCAAUUAGAUCAGGUUUGUUUUUCAGAUCAUUAACCCUCUGGUAUACGUAUUGUACACCUGAGAAGGCUGCACUAUAUAUAUACAUGCAUCUAGCAUAUGGAUGCAACAACAUCCAUCACAAAUUAGAACACUACCAUAAGAAUGUACACAUAAUUCUUCAUCUGCAUCAUGCUCAGAUAAAGGUCUUAUCUGUGUGCUCUUCUAAUGCAGGAAGGUGCUAAGUGCUAACACAGAUUUAUAUAAAAUACAUGACCCUACUGUGCAAAAUAUACAUAUGCACAAAAGCUAAGUAAAAGAGCACAUAUGAUGAAUAUUUAUCAGACAUUAAGGGCAUGUUUGGUUGCACAUAAGCAGGCAUUCAAAGUUUACUUCAAGUAUGUGUAAAGUUACUUUAGGUGUUUGUCCCAAGGUGGCCUCAUGUAAGUUCAUGCAUUGAGAAGAAUCGGACUCAAAAAUACGGAAAGUGACUUGCUAGUAGGGAGACAAAAUCACUUUUGCAAAAUGAGUUCCCAUCUAUCCACUUACAGACAACCAAAUAAGCCCUAGGAGACUAACACCAAACUCUUUUUUGAGUUAGGUCUUGUCCCAAUGGGCAUUACCAAAACAAAAGGAAGCAAUAAAGUGAACUUGAUGCAGCCACAAUCUAUGGAAAAAAUAAUUGAUAGAAAAUAUGACACCUGGCAUGCAUUCCCACAAUACCAUGCAACCCGACAAGCUGAGCAUUUCCUUAGGUUGUUGGAUGCAAAACAUCCAUCACAACUUGAGCCACUAGAAAUUUGUUUAGGUGUAGAUGCAUAAGGCUCUUGACAAAUAAUGACUUCUCCUGCAAGAUAUAACUCCUGUCAGCAUUAAAAAAAAAUAAGAAAUGAAUUAUUACACCAGCUCUUCAAGUAUCAUAAUUCACAUGUCAAAUGUCAACUGAUAAACAAAUUCCACUCUAGGUUUGCAGCUAGAAUACAACAAAUACUAAGUGAAUAGUGAGAUGGGGUUAAAAAUUCAACAGCUGCAUGAAUUAAAUAAUAGUUUCCAUCUACUAGUUUGCUUUUAGGCAUCCAAUAUAUCCCUCAUAUAUGUUGUUGUAUCUCCAACGUCCCAUGUUAUUUCCUCUCUUCUACCAAUCUCCAAAGGAGUUAGUGAUACAUUUGAAACUAAGUGAAGGAACCAUCAAUUGGAGCCAUCAUCAAAGCAGUAGUGAACUUUGAGCAGUAAGUCGAUUUGCUUUAUGAGCAAACGAUCAUGGUAUCCUCAUUUGUCCACAGCACCUAAUCUGGAAUUUGGCAACCAGUAAAAUUCCUUCCCUGUAUAAGUUCUAAGGCAUACAUGAGCACAUGAUCACGAAACUGAUUAUGCCCGCUAGUUGUAGGUUCGUCUUCAGUCAACCAUCAAUUAAACUAUAGACUCCACAGCUAUCACAUCCUAGAGGAAAACUGGCAAAUUCUUCAAAGUAUAUUACCUAGUUGACCCAAGUGCAGUGCUUAAAUCUUCUGGCUCAGAUGGUGUUUAACUCCACUUUUUAAAGAAUUAACCACCCAUC
This 7096-nucleotide long non-coding RNA is filed under the name Elaeis guineensis (African oil palm). Its description in RNAcentral is "long non-coding RNA (EGUI_LNC016573)". The record is from RNAcentral. Lineage: Eukaryota; Viridiplantae; Streptophyta; Magnoliopsida; Arecales; Arecaceae.